Molecule: ribosomal RNA, 358 nt
Filed under: uncultured bacterium
Lineage: Bacteria
Description: bacterial SSU rRNA
Rfam family: Bacterial small subunit ribosomal RNA
Source: RNAcentral
GAGUUUGAUCUAUGGCUCAGGAUGAACGCUAGCUACAGGCUUAACACAUGCAAGUCGAGGGGAAACGACAUCGAAAGCUUGCUUUUGAUGGGCGUCGACCGGCGCACGGGUGAGUAACGCGUAUCCAACCUGCCCACCACUUGGGGAUAACCUUGCGAAAGUAAGGACUAAUACCCAAUGAUAUCUCUAGAAGACAUCUGAAAGAGAUUAAAGAUUCAUCGGUGAUGGAUGGGGAUGGCGUCUGAUUAGCUUGUUGGCGGGGUAACGGCCCACCAAGGCAACGAUCAGUAGGGGUUCUGAGAGGAAGGUCCCCCACAUUGGAACUGAGACACGGUCCAAACUCCUACGGGAGGCAGCA